This is a long non-coding RNA of Ornithodoros turicata, 258 nucleotides long. RefSeq lists it as uncharacterized. The record is from RefSeq and is a predicted model, not a curated record. Lineage: Eukaryota; Metazoa; Arthropoda; Arachnida; Ixodida; Argasidae. The transcript is spliced from 4 exons.
CUACAGCUGACUAACCUUUUUAGUGACUUCCAUAUUUCAUCAUUAAUUUCUUAGGCACUUGGGGCCUUGAUAUCGAUGGUCGCUACGAAACAUGGAAACUUACCCGUAAAUUGUUGAAGGAUUACGCCGACGAGAUGAAGCAGCGGAUCGGGAAAGAACGAGAGGAGGCUCAGCGUAUGUAUGAAGAGACAGCGAAAAAGAUGACUGAAGAGGAGCACACUAAAUACAUCGAAGCGCUUACUGCUAUGGCCAAAACAC